GGGGGCGUACCGGUUUCGACGGGGAUGCAGAAGUAGGAAUAGCGGGCGGUGGUGCCUGACCACCCAAAAACAGGCAUUCUUUAUAAAUUAAAGAACAACACAGAAUACGCUUACGCUGCCUGAUUAAAGGCGGCCGUCUGACCCGGAAGGACCACGAGCCGGAAUCAGGCGUCGUUUAGUGGUGAACGUGCGUGCGCUAAGCUUUGCGCGUACCAUGUAUCAUGAAGCUUACCUGACCAGAGGGCGUGACGGCUUGCCCACUGUGACGGGAACAGGGAGAGAAAGACUCCUGCAAUAACCGUCUGCGCCCGGAGAAGUUCCUAUGGAUGUGUUUUCGGACGGGAGUUCAACUCUCCCCGCCUCCACCA
Molecule: transfer-messenger RNA, 368 nt
Filed under: Oscillospiraceae
Lineage: Bacteria; Bacillati; Bacillota; Clostridia; Eubacteriales
Also listed under: 1 other name
Description: Lawsonibacter sp022791995 Standard tmRNA
Rfam family: transfer-messenger RNA
About the family: Bacterial tmRNA, also known as 10Sa RNA or SsrA, is named for its dual tRNA and mRNA-like properties. Its role is to liberate the mRNA from a stalled ribosome.
Source: RNAcentral